RNAcentral lists this ribosomal RNA (492 nucleotides) under uncultured bacterium. RNAcentral's name for it is "partial 16S ribosomal RNA". It matches the Rfam family "Bacterial small subunit ribosomal RNA", at positions 29 to 507 of the family's 1533-position model. The record is from RNAcentral.
AGUGAACGCUGGCGGUAGGCCUAACACAUGCAAGUCGAACGGCAGCACAGUAAGAGCUUGCUCUUACGGGUGGCGAGUGGCGGACGGGUGAGGAAUACAUCGGAAUCUACUUUUUCGUGGGGGAUAACGUAGGGAAACUUACGCUAAUACCGCAUACGACCUACGGGUGAAAGCAGGGGAUCUUCGGACCUUGCGCGAUUGAAUGAGCCGAUGUCGGAUUAGCUAGUUGGCGGGGUAAAGGCCCACCCAGGCGACGAUCCGUAGCUGGUCUGAGAGGAUGAUCAGCCACACUGGAACGGAGACACGGUCAAGACUCCUACGGGAGGCAGCAGUGGGGAAUAUUGGACAAUGGGCGCAAGCAUGAUCCAGCCAUACCGCGUGGGUGAAGAAGGCCUUCGGGUUGUAAAGACCUUUUGUUGGGAAAGAAAAGCAGCAGGUUAAUACCCCGCUGUUCUGACGGUACCCAAAGAAUAAGCACCGGCUAACUUCGUG